This 474-nucleotide ribosomal RNA is filed under the name Shigella flexneri. Its description in RNAcentral is "partial 23S ribosomal RNA". It matches the Rfam family "Bacterial large subunit ribosomal RNA", at positions 2374 to 2842 of the family's 2925-position model. The record is from RNAcentral. Lineage: Bacteria; Pseudomonadati; Pseudomonadota; Gammaproteobacteria; Enterobacterales; Enterobacteriaceae.
UGCGAGCGUGACGGCGCGAGCAGGUGCGAAAGCAGGUCAUAGUGAUCCGGUGGUUCUGAAUGGAAGGGCCAUCGCUCAACGGAUAAAAGGUACUCCGGGGAUAACAGGCUGAUACCGCCCAAGAGUUCAUAUCGACGGCGGUGUUUGGCACCUCGAUGUCGGCUCAUCACAUCCUGGGGCUGAAGUAGGUCCCAAGGGUAUGGCUGUUCGCCAUUUAAAGUGGUACGCGAGCUGGGUUUAGAACGUCGUGAGACAGUUCGGUCCCUAUCUGCCGUGGGCGCUGGAGAACUGAGGGGGGCUGCUCCUAGUACGAGAGGACCGGAGUGGACGCAUCACUGGUGUUCGGGUUGUCAUGCCAAUGGCACUGCCCGGUAGCUAAAUGCGGAAGAGAUAAGUGCUGAAAGCAUCUAAGCACGAAACUUGCCCCGAGAUGAGUUCUCCCUGACCCUUUAAGGGUCCUGAAGGAACGUUGAA